UGCAGUCGAACGGCAGCAUGAUCUAGCUUGCUAGAUUGAUGGCGAGUGGCGAACGGGUGAGUAAUACAUCGGAACGUGCCCUGUAGUGGGGGAUAACUAGUCGAAAGAUUAGCUAAUACCGCAUACGACCUGAGGGUGAAAGUGGGGGACCGCAAGGCCUCAUGCUAUAGGAGCGGCCGAUGUCUGAUUAGCUAGUUGGUGGGGUAAAGGCCCACCAAGGCGACGAUCAGUAGCUGGUCUGAGAGGACGAUCAGCCACACUGGGACUGAGACACGGCCCAGACUCCUACGGGAGGCAGCAGUGGGGAAUUUUGGACAAUGGGCGAAAGCCUGAUCCAGCAAUGCCGCGUGUGUGAAGAAGGCCUUCGGGUUGUAAAGCACUUUUGUCCGGAAAGAAAUGGCUCUGGUUAAUACCUGGGGUCGAUGACGGUACCGGAAGAAUAAGGACCGGCUAACUACGUGCCAGCAGCCGCGGUAAUAC
This 480-nucleotide ribosomal RNA is filed under the name Ralstonia sp. M67C10A. Its description in RNAcentral is "bacterial SSU rRNA". It matches the Rfam family "Bacterial small subunit ribosomal RNA", at positions 56 to 526 of the family's 1533-position model. Lineage: Bacteria; Pseudomonadati; Pseudomonadota; Betaproteobacteria; Burkholderiales; Burkholderiaceae. The record is from RNAcentral.